Molecule: long non-coding RNA, 385 nt
Filed under: Nicotiana benthamiana
Lineage: Eukaryota; Viridiplantae; Streptophyta; Magnoliopsida; Solanales; Solanaceae
Description: long non-coding RNA (NBEN_LNC005952)
Source: RNAcentral
AAAAAAUUAAUAAGUUUAGUCUUGAAUACGUAAAAUGACAAUUAUUUUUGAACAAUUCAUUUGAGUUAAAGCAACAACUACGAUGAGAUGGAGGGAAUAAUAACUAAAUGAGAAAAAUAACUAAUAUUUCAUAUCUGUUAAGUAAAUGAUACCCCACGCAUCAGCCAUAUCCACAUUCCAUAGUUGAGUGGAGCAGUAUACAACAACAACAACUCAGUAUAAUCUCACUUAGUGGGGUCUGCCUUUGGGUAGAGAGGCUGUCUCCAAAUAGACCCCUGCCAUCCUUUCCUUCAAGAACUUCACACCUUGCUCUUGGGGAGACUCGAACUCACAACCUCUCGGUUGAAAGUGAGGGUUGCUUACCAUCAGAGCAACCCCUCUUGCC